CUCGUCGUCGUAGCGCACAAUGUUCUCGUGGAUGUUCUCGUCGUCGUCGAUGAUGUAGGGCUGCUUCCGGUGCCGCCUCAUGGACAGGAUGAGCAGCACCAGCACUGCCGGGGGACACAAAGAGGGGCGCAUGGAAGCUGUGGACAUUGUGGGACGGGGUUUAUCAGACUCCGGAUCUAACUGAGGAGCUUUGGAGAGUUGGUAGUUUCUGGCGUUUUCUUCAAGAGUUUGGCUCCUGGUGCAUGAUAUUCUCACAGCUUGACUGGUGAAUGUUUUAAAGAGAAAAAAAUGAAAGAACUAUGGGGUGUCAGAGGGUCCUGCCUGUCCUCAGUGUCAUCCUCCCACUCAAUCCGCAUCCCAUCAUUAAGUCUCAGAAACGCCAUAUUUCAGAAGUCUGCCUCAGAGUAAGCCCCUGGAAUGCCUGACUGUUGGAUGUAAAAAUGGAUGGAAUGGAGUAGUCAUAAAGUCACAGGUCAGGGAGCAGUGAAGAUAGUCACAUACAGUUCAGCCUCAUGUCAGUGCUGCUCACAACCCAGGGCACCAUCUGCCCUAUUCCCAUGGAGAAGCAAAUCCUUUUUAGUUUGAUUGCCAAAUGUAAAGGGAUAAAAUGUUUCUUAGGAGAUUUAAAAAAAUAACUUCUUUAUUGACUUUUUGGGAGUUUCACAGCAUGCACCCCAAUUCUCUUCACCUCCUGGUCCCCCUAUCAUCCCCUCAUCCCUGCCACAUCUCCCCACAUAAGAGAACAAAUCAAAGUAAGCAAGCAAGUGAACAAAAACAAACAAAACCAAUAGGGGAUGUUUUGGAUAGAUAAUAUGAUGGGGGAAUUUUUAAGGCAGAUCUUAAACUUCGUGUGUAUAUGUUGAGAUGGGACUUUGAAGGGUAGGUAGACAGUGUGCUAGGAGUCCCAGUGGGAGCCUCAUGACUGACUUUAUUGACCUCCAUUCCCCUGAGAGUCUUCAGCCCCACUGGCAUAAAAUCUUGCUCAACACUCUUCGUUCUUUCCCUUCUAAUCAUCAGGCGUGCAAUUCACUUUUGUAUGGCUUUCAUCCACUGUAGGAGGAGAGCACUAUGCCCUGCCUUGUGUCUGCUUUCUGACUUUGCUUCAUGUGUGACAUAAUCUACGAAACUUCAGGCAUGUUAAUGUGGUUCUUUACAGCUAUUACCAUGGAUGCUGCCUUGUUCAAUCAAGCUUUUAUUGUAAUUGUUAUUAGGUCGAUAAUAUUUCAGACCAUAUUACACUAGAGAUUUAAUAAAUAUGGAAGUUCUUAAAACUAGAAAAUACCUUUUAGGAGUGAUACGGACUUGUACCAAAUUUUAAGAAUCGGUGUUGAGGUCAGUUUGGAUUUAAGUCACUGAAGGGAUUCUUGAUUUACAGAAACAAAGUUACUUUCUUUGGAUAGAAGACAAAGAUGUAUUGUGUUAAGGAUGUUGAAAGAGCUCCAGUAAGUGUUAGUCUUAGAGACACAGCUUUGUGCAGAGGCUGCUGGGGUGAUGUUCUACUGAGUGGUAGAAGAGAGGGCAAAACUUUGUUGCUGCCAGAGGCUGAGUUACCAUUUGGUCAGAUGGGCACUUCCCACCCCCCCUGAUUUCCUUAUCAAAAUGAUCUUGAUCCAUCUUCUCUAUCUGAGUUCAUAGGACCACAGCAUAUGUAUGUUCUAAGAUGGACAUCAGGGCUAUUAAUGGAGGAAGGAAGCAUACAAAGGCAGGAGCAGAAUGGAGGAUGUGGGAGGACAGGUCGAGGGGAUGAAGUACCUGACAAAUACAUUCUUAUGUGGCCACUGAAAAUGGAUUUCUGGAUGUUUCUCAAUCAGACAAUUUGGAAUUUGAUAAAAUACAAGGCUAGAUUUAGAUGCCUUAAAAAUGUUUCUGAAAUAUGUCUUAGAACUGUGGUUAUUUCCAUAACUGUACUAUUCUGUGAGCCAAGAACUUGUUAAAGCACUAUUCAGACCACACUUUGGGCUCCAAGUGGUUGUCUUAACAAAUAAAUAAUUGGCACCUGGCAUAAAGAAGUUGGGUACUCUUUUUUCUAAUUCAUAAUUUCUGGUGUGGACAUAUUGUUGAUAAUGAAUUCAGUUUUUGUACUGGUUAGUUUUAUGCCAACUUGAUAUAAGAUUGAGCCAUUUGGGAAGAGGAACCCUCAG
Molecule: long non-coding RNA, 2141 nt
Organism: Mesocricetus auratus (golden hamster)
Lineage: Eukaryota; Metazoa; Chordata; Mammalia; Rodentia; Cricetidae
Exons: 4
Source: RefSeq, a predicted model, not a curated record